This 22599-nucleotide long non-coding RNA is filed under the name Sorghum bicolor (sorghum). RNAcentral's name for it is "long non-coding RNA (SBIC_LNC000386)". The stretch from base 18216 to 18324 matches the Rfam family "MIR5565 microRNA precursor family". The record is from RNAcentral. Lineage: Eukaryota; Viridiplantae; Streptophyta; Magnoliopsida; Poales; Poaceae.
AUGGAAGGGUUCAAGGGCGAGGCCGCGGUGGUGAGGGAGGCCGUGCGGGGGCACGUCGUCGGCGUCGCGCACCUCACGGCCGACGCGCUUGCCAUUGUCAACGCCAUGGGCAAGUCCAUGGGAGUCGAUAUAUGCCGCGGUUCUUGCAAAUCCACACCGACGCCGCCGCCUGCUACUGCCCCAUAGAAACACCGAAAGCUCCACAUCGAGCAAAAAGAAAAAUGGUUUCAAUCAUCCAUAGAUGUCAUAUGUCAUAAGUGUUGUAGCUUUGCUAAAAAAAGGACCGGCCCUAGUAGCUAAAUAAAGUUUUCGACACAUGUCUAGACAGAUAUCUGUAUAAAAAAAAUCAAUCACUACUAUAAAAUUUUUUUCGUAACAACAUUUUCAUCAAUAUAUAGUUCAGUAAAAAAACAUUUAUGAUAAUAUAUCACCAAUUUUCACUGCCAAUCUGUGUGUGCCAAUGGUUGAUGAAAAUAUUUGCACUAUGUCUCUAUAGAAGCCCGCCCAGCUCAUAUCAGCCGCUAAGAGCUUCUCCACCAGAUUAAUUUAAACACAUCUCCUUACCCUAAAAACAACAAUAAAGGGGACUGGGGUGUGAAAAAAAUAUGCUUCACCAGAUCCCCUUUCCAACCCUAUCUCUCCUUUUUUUUCUCUCAAACCCAUAAACCCCUCAAAACCAUCCCUCUACAAAAAGAAUCGGCUAAAGAAAAUUAAGUACACAAAUGAUUUGACUUUGUGUAAUCAUAUUUUUUUGAUAUUUUGAUAGAAAAUAAUUUCAUUAGAAUUAUCGAUAACAAGGUGUUGACAUCACUCUAGAACUUAUAAGAGCAUACAUAUUGUAAGUGGUAUAAUUCAUUUGAUUUAUUACUUGUAAUUGCAACAUAAUUUUUAAACACUAGGCUUUGCACUUGUGUUUUGCAUCAACACCAUCAUCAAAACUCACAUUUUAAUUUGGAAAACUAUCUGUUGUGUGGCGCACUAUCCGUCCACCACUAACGGCUCAGGUCGACACAAUUUAGACCAUGGGCGGAUCUAUAUAGCUGGCAAGGGGUGCGACCACACCCACGAAAAUAUGAAAAAGACAGUAAUUAUGAUUAAAUUUUCAUCAUAUAUCCACCUCUACGAUAAAAUCUUAUGCAUUCAUAGGCUUAAUGCACCUCCCUCAAAUUUAUUCGAGCUCCGCUACUGAUUUAGACAACAAUGGACAAUCCACCCGAGCACGACCAUGCAGCCCCACCUCCUACGCGCAUGCCGAGCUAUGUGGAGCCAUGACAUGCAUGGGUUCAAAUCGGCCAAGCCACCACAUGAGUGGGUACAAACGCCGGUGAAAAUUUUGCAACUUAAGAAAGGGGUCAAACGGAGUGAGGGACCGAAACCUGAGAGGAAGAAAUUUUCUCCUUCUAAUAUUAGAUAGAUGUAGAUAUAAAUUUAUUACAAUUUAAUGCAAUUAUUAUAUUUGUGAAAUGAUGGUUGACCAUGUUAUUCUUAAUUUGUACGUUCGUGUGAAAACAUGCAAGGACUAACUUGCUGCAUAAAAAAUAACUAUAAUUGGAAAAUAUAAUUUUUUGAAUAGAACUAGGCAAAGAAGGAUAUGUUUAGAUCUCAUCAAUUGAAACCAAUAUCUAGAAGGUGCUUUUUAUUUUAUUUUAAAAUAUUUCUAGUUUCUCUGAAUUUCUAGGAACCCACGUAGCAGGGCCUAAGCUAAGUGAUUUAGAACCAGCUUGGCAGAGCUCCCAAAAUAGCGUCCAAGUUGAAAGCUAGGUAGGAGAAACUAUGCUAAACAGUUUUUUUACUGAGAAGUGAUUUUUUGCACAUAUCUGUGAAGUGCUUCUUUGAAAUGGACUAAAAGGCAGGGAGCUGAAAAAAGUAAUUCCUCUUGAUUGAUUCCAUGCAUAAAAUCAUUAUAUGCAUAACUUGAAGUAGGAGGAGCUCAGCAAACUGGCCCUUUACCCUUUUGCUGAUUCAACGUGCCGUGAAAAAACAAGAAACCUUUUCUGCUUAGAAAUGUUUCUAGUGUCUAACGAUUCACUAGUUUCGGAGAACCGCAACUGAAACGACCUAGAUUUUUCCACAAAGGGGAAAAAUCCUCAGAUUCAAAUUAUAAUGUGAUAAUUCAGAAAUUGAGCCAUCACAUUAUCAUAUAUCAGCUGUUAUCACAGUCACACAUCGUGAAAAAGGAGAUUACAACACAUUUACUUUACAACUCUUAGUUAACAAGCCUAUUACAUCGUUUUACUAGCGGAAACAUACACGAAUCUUUAUCAGAGUUGAUGUAGCGCGUCAACGGUGAAGGCUCCUCCUUCACAGGCAAUCAUCAGAGUCGGCGUAGUUUAUCAGCGGGCGUAGCCUUCAUCUCCGAACCAAACUUGAGCGCAUGAACGAGACCACCUAAUCCUUCUAUUCUCCGUGGUUAUCGUCUUAGACCACGUUCAACACCUGCUAAACAAUUUUCAGUACGAUUUGUACUGGCCACUGGCUCCCACCCUAUGCUUUUGCGUAAGCUUUGUGGUAAGUGGAAUGCAAAGGGGUAGAUCAAGAGGCCUAUAAAUAUGGUUGUAGUCUUUCCUAUGCAAGUUCAUCAAUAUUUAAUAAUAAUAUUCAUCAGGUUUUAAUCCAUCUCAACCACACAUCCAUCCAUCCAUCCAUCCAUCCAUCACACACAUCUCACCACACUCUCACUCUCUAGGCGGCAAGUACGACUCCCGCUCGUGCCUUGCCUCAACGGCCAACGCCGGAUCCAACACAAACCCAGGGGAAGGUAGAAGGGACUCCUCUCUCUAGUCAAGUGAAGCGGAAACAUAGGAAAGGUCCAUAGCCGAAAACGGCAUAUGUAUCGAUCGAUCGACCAGAAACUCUGCAGAGGUUUGCACUAACCACAAGAUCACCAUCAUCGGUGGUGCGCCCCACCUAGGCUGAUGUCGGGCUGCCUUCCAACUAAGUACGAUGCCACCCUACCACUCAGAACUGGGACCAUACCGGAGUACCACCGGUACGCUGAGACUGUGAGGCGUAGUACCGGGCCCCCAAAGGUCACUACGCUGUCUUAGGAGGGUGUGGGUCCUCAUGCCCGUACCUCCCUACACUGUCAACCAACAACCUAGUAGUAGUGGCACCGCCCUAACUGGUCGUACAUCCGUCUCCUCCCCAUAAGAGCGAGUGGGGUGCAAGGCUUCCUACGAACCGGUUCUCAGAACAUCUCAGUCCUUAGGGUGACCGAACAGGACAUCUUCACGAGGGGCCAACCGAUGCCCGGCUCGACGGGACAUCCGAUUACCCCGUGUUAAACAGCACCUCCCAUCCCGGUGCUUCGUCCCACGAAGACACUCCACUCCGGGACCUCUCCCUGUCACAUGUACCCGCCACAGGUAUCUCUCGUGGAGAACGCCCAGGUAGCGUCCCCCGGCAAGACUUGCCCCAAGACUCGUCGUAGAUCCUGCUCGGUCGACUCAACCCUCACCACACACCCAAGACACACGCCAAGAUCUCCCCAAAUCCAUUACUAUCUCAUUAUCCAGCUUUUGGCACCACGUGCCUUAUCCACUCACUUCCAGUCCUCCACAAUGCAUCACAUCACAGAUAUAAUGCGUAGUAGAAGCAGUAGCAAGUAGUAUGCAAGCAUCUAACCUAACAGCGGGUGUGCGAGGAUUAUAGGUUGCAACAAGGCAAUGGCUCACAAGCAUUUCUACCAUGCAACCUAUCUCAAUUCAUUUGCAUAAAAGUAAAGCACUAGCAUCUACAUAUUGCAUGUCUAAUAGGAUUCUACGAGGUUGGGUGGGACGUGGCACCUGUCGAGUGACAUUUCCAGGAUCCUCAGUUCACUUGUAGUUGUACUCAUCCAAGGUCUUUCUCCUAUCUGCAUGUCCUUCCUUCGACUGGUUCCGAUUCGAUCAUCGCUAACCGAAGCAACUACCUCAUAAACGACAAUCAAGGCGAAACAAUCAAACCACUAGACCUAGAAAGAUCGUGAUAAGAGGCGACAAAACACUGAAGAACAACUACACUAAAAGAGCACCGAAAGGAAAACAACUUAGCCCUCUCGGCGGAUGUCCGAUCCCUGGGCUAAAAGAAACGGGAAUGGUUGUUCACUAAGUACAAGCCAGAGUCUUAGCCUAGCCGGUACUUCCCGGGUUAACUCAGUCAACCUGUACGGCUUUAUUAAAUGGCUUAGACUCUAACUCAUUCUAAGCAAACACCAUGGCUUACGGUCUUCCGAUCCAAGCGUCAUAGAGAUUGACGAGAACCAAACGGUUGUAAGCACAAGAAACUCUGAUCUCUCUCAACCCGUACGCCAUUAUGAUUGACGAGAGUCAAGAGAGGGUGGAACGUGAGAGAAGAGAAAAGGGGAGCGGUCUACUCCUUCCAAUCCACUUGCCGUGGUAAGAGACGGGGAAUCAGAAAGAGUGACACACAAGAACACGAGUGCUUAAACACUUGUAGGGUACCACGACCUAGGUGCACUAAAUGCACUAAGACAUCCCUAGGGUUCAUAGCAGUGCGGUUGUCACCGCGAGAACCAAAGAAACGCUACGGUCAAAUAGGUACAAGCAUACAAGAGUUUAAGUACGAAGAACCAAAAGGCGGUAAAAGACACGGGUUUCACUUUCCAUUGAUCCGCUCGCCAUAUCAACGACGGGAAUCGCGGGAUUGGAAACAAAACAUCAAACAAGCAAAAAGGAGCUCAAUCCACAUCUUACUGGAUCGACGGGGAUUGAGAACAAGAGAGAAGAAGAAGAAUGGGGUCCACGUUCUUUCGACCCAACUCAUCAUGGAACGAACGACGGUUGGAUAAAAAGUGAUGCGACCCCACGAUCUACUCCAACUCAAAACGCUUCACGACCUAGGUGCUUCUGACUCGGCACAAGGUCAUUCCUAUAGUUCUAGGCGAUGCGGUUGUCAUCGCGGGAACUAGGGGAAAUGCCCGGGUCUAGGUGGCAUAAGCAUACGAGACAGAAUAAAUAAACAUGCGAGAAAAAUGGGAUAGGCUCAAUGGCCAUGGCGAGGCGUCUCGCGACCAUGAGCUUCACCUAACGAGUUGGCUUCCGACUGUUCCACGAAGGUUGUCCCCUAAUUCGUAUCCCACUCGACUAGGUCAUUUAGGUCUCGGGUGUGCGGGUAAGAACCGCGUCGUUAACGACAUCGAGUCCACGAUGACCAUGUCCGAGGGACGGGAAUAGGAGCUAACGACCGUAGCGCAACGAAGUCAACUAAACACAAGGAAUGAGUUACGCUCGGCAUCACGAUCACGGCGGGACGAACCCACGAUCGAAAUGAUCGAACGCACUACCAUUUCCCUAACCGGCUCGAAGGCUCGGUCCUCAGGCAACGACAAACACAUAAAGAAUCACGACUCGACCAAAGACAACACAAGGGACACGAUGACAACUCAGAGUAGCACAUUUCCAUAACACAAGAGAUAGAUAGAGAUAGAUAAAUAAACCGGCACGAAGGCACGACACAGGCAUGGAUAUAGAUAAAUCAUAUAACAAGUGCACGACAUGGAUGGAUCAUAUAUCGACAAGGUAGGAGAUGUAUGAUCAUGUACAGAUGAUAGAUAACGAAAUGAUAUAUGAACAAAUAUGAUUUAAUAUGGAGUUCCAACGUCGACUAGGGUUUAGGGGGGGUUUCGACCUUGCCGAACACGAAGAAGGGCGUAGGUCAGCUGCAAGUCUUCUGCUUGGCUGGCUGUGGCUCGCUGCGGCUCGGCUGGAGGCAGCAGGCAGCGAGAAGGCAUCACUUCUUCGGCCAAAACACAACGGGACCAAAACUUCCCUGCAACAGUGGAAGAACACGGCACGAAGGCCGGUCUCAGCGAGGCGAAAUAGGAAGGGGAAAACCUUGGUCUGGGCGAGGCUCACCGGGGGUUUGGCUUGGCGAGGUCGUGCACAGGAGUUCGACGUGGUGACCGUGGCGAGGACGGGGACGCCGCGGGCUCCUGGGCGAGGUCACGGCGUCGUCGUGGUGGCGCAGAUCGAUAUCGGGGUCACGGUCGCGGUCUCCAUGGCUGGCAUGGACGUGGUCGUGGACACCGGACGAGGUCGCGGUGCUUGGCGUGGGCGCGGCCACGGCGGUGAGGUGCUCGGCGAAGAGGGGGUCCGCGGCUCCUGGCGAGGUCCGGGACACGGGCGAUGCAGAGCUUGACGGAGUAGGACUCGCCGAAGUCGGCGUCGCGGCUCCGGUGUCGCCGCGUCGGGGCUUCGAGGUGCUCGGCGUCGACGAUCCAAGGGCGAGGUCGUCGCGAAGGUCGCGGCCGGGGCGAGGUUGGUGCUCGGCUGCUGGGAAUGGAGCAGACAGCGACGGCGGCCAUGGCUUUUAUACGCGUCGGGCUAGGGUUCCAGGGGGAGCCACGUUCAUCCUCGGCGUCCGUGUCAGCUGCGGGACACGCGGCAGGCAUCAGGAUCGAGGGGGAUGGGGUGCGGGCAGGGACAUGGGUGCAGGGGGCGGUUCUGCCCACUCUGGGCGGUGGCGGCGGCGGCUCUGGGGCUCAGGGGUGCGCUAGGGUUAGGCGCUGGGGCGGCUUGGGCCGAGAGGGGUCACGCGCGCGAGUUGGGCCGGGCAGGUAGCUGGGCGGCGACAGGGGCAGAGGGGAAAGGCGGGCCAGGCGGUGCCGAGGCCAACUGGGCCGCAGAGGGGGAAGGGUGGCUGGUUGGGCCAGAGCAUGAGCUGGGCUGGCGAGCUGGAGGGGGAGGAGGGGGAAAGGAAUCCUGGCCCAAGAGAAGAAGGAAGGCUUUUCCAUUUCUGGAUUAAACACAAAAGAAUGAAAACAAAAGGAGAUCGGAUAAAAUCCGAUGGAGUUUGAGACGUACUCCAACAAAAAGUUGAGAAGGGAUUCACUUCGCCUUUGAGAUAGGCUCCACGAAGAUUCGGGAAGACUUUGCUACGGAUUUGUGCACUCCAAAAGAAACUCAAAACCCUAAACAAGACUAAACUCCAAACCGACUCACGAACAAAAGCACUCACCUAGAAACAAAUCUAUAUGUAUGCCACGAUUUGUUUGCGGGUUAGGAUCGAUUUAGAUCUAAAAACUAUAUGCUUCACAAGAUUACAAGAAAAUUUUAAAAAGCUCGUAUUUUUGGUUUUCGUAAAAAUCUAGGAUGUUACAGACCACCCUCCUUACAGGAAUCUCGUCCCCGAGAUUUAGGCAUUGCUCGGUUGGUGAAGAAACGAGGGUGUCGUUCCCGAAGGUUUUCUUUCUUCUGAGUUGCUUUGCUUCUAGUAUUGUCGCUCCACAAACCUUUUCCAAAAUAGGAGUGAGUCAUGUUCUGGGUGCAUCCAGGGCUCAGUGACGGGUGUUGGGUGUCCAAUUUCUUACGCCAAGGCGAUGGGUAUCCAAGAAUCGCACCAGGUUGAUGAACAUCUAGCUCUCAAAGAGUGCUUGGCAGGCUGAAACAUAGCUAGGGUUGUUGGCUUUCACCAGAUGUUUUUCAUGCAUCACAUUUUGAAAAAGGCUUUUGAAAGGAGGGAUUUUUGGGAAACAGGUUUCAAAAAUUAGAGUGAAAGCGCUUUUACAAAGUCAAUUUUUUUUUCAGAGGCGUCAAAUUGAAGAGAGCUUUUGAAGAGUGUUGAAAUCAAUGCAAGUUUUGAAAACCAAAUCUUCUGAAGGUUUUGUUACAAAAGAUUUCAAAUCAAGAGAUUUUUUUAAAAUUCUUUUAUUUUAUUAUUAUUUUCUUUAAAACAAGGUAUUGCUCCAUUUUUAUUAGAGUCAAACAAACUAGUUUUGAAAGUGAUUAGAAAUCUUUCCUCAUUUGAAAGUUAGAGCCUUCACAACCAAAUCUUGUUUUCAACAUUUUUUUUGAAAGGAUGCAAAUAAAAUCUUUUCGCAAUGGUUUUUGUUUAAUAAAUCACUGGCAAUUUCUUUUUCUUUUAAGACAAGAUGGAUUUUUAAAAGGAAUUUGGCUCCUGAGAUAAAGUCAAAGGCCUUUAAAACAAAACUGAGCCAAAGUUCUUUGGUUUGAAAACCACCUUGUUGAUGAAAAAGCAAAACUUUUAUUUUAUUAUAUAUAUAUUAUUUUUUUGAAGGGGUUUUGUCACACCUUUUGCAAGAUGAUUUGUUUUUAAAUUGUUUCAUAAAUAACUUUUGAAUAAAAUUGAGUUGAGAAAGGGGUUAAAAUUGCUUUCUUUGUGAAAAUGAAAGAUAUUGAGAGAGUUUUGAAACACUUUUCCUUUUGAAACCAAGAUGUUUUUGUAAAAGAGGGAAACUUUUUCAACCAAAAGGAGAGGCAAAUUUUUUUAACCAAAGGGGCAAUUUUGAAGACAAGUUUAGUUGGAAACUGGAAACAAUUUUGAAAUGGUUGGGUAAAACAAGAUGCAUCAGCUUUACACCCUUUUUCAACUAUGUUAUUCAGGGGCACCUAUCUACUCUCGGGACGAUCUUGGGUUUAGCCAGCUAAAUUAGACAGGAUCCAGAGUCUUACUCGCAUAAAAUAGGUUUAUAGCUUACACUCAAACAACAAGAAGCCGAAGAAACACAACAACAUAAGAUCCAAGCACUCAAACAGCAUUACAAUUCCUAAUGCAUAGUGUUGACUUGAGGCGACUCACCGACCUUCAAAGUCUCACACGACUACCGAUCUAGCGUGGGCGGGUAUGGGAAAAGAUUCCAACGGUCAACUUUACGAUACAGGGAGGUCAGUUAGCAGCAGAAUUCAAGGCGGAGGGGAAAACAAGCGUUAGCAUCUAUAACUCUACAAAAGAUAGAAUGUUUGGCUUCUCUACUAGUGUUUGGUCCUAAAGGUCUCGUCCUAGGGUCAAGUAUGGCUCUGAUACCAACUGAAACGACCUAGAUUUUUCCACAAAGGGGAAAAAUCCUCAGAUUCGAAUUAUAAUGUGAUAAUUCAGAAAUUGAGCCAUCACAUUAUCAUAUAUCAGCUGUUAUCACAGUCAUACAUCGUGAAAAAGGAGAUUACAACACAUUUACUUUAAACCUGAGAGGAAGAAAUUUUCUCCUUCUAAUAUUAGAUAGAUGUAGAUAUAAAUUUAUUACAAUUUAAUGCAAUUAUUAUAUUUGUGAAAUGAUGGUUGACCAUGUUAUUCUUAAUUUGUACGUUCGUGUGAAAACACGCAAGGACUAACUUGCUGCAUAAAAAAUAACUAUAAUUGGAAAAUAUAAUUUUUUGAAUAGAACUAGGCAAAGAAGGAUAUGUUUAGAUCUCAUCAAUUGAAACCAAUAUCUAGAAGGUGCUUUUUAUUUUAUUUUAAAAUAUUUCUAGUUUCUCUGAAUUUCUAGGAACCCACGUAGCAGGGCCUAAGCUAAGUGAUUUAGAACCAGCUUGGCAGAGCUCCCAAAAUAGCGUCCAAGUUGAAAGCUAGGUAGGAGAAACUAUGCUAAACAGUUUUUUUACUGAGAAGUGAUUUUUUGCACAUAUCUGUGAAGUGCUUCUUUGAAAUGGACUAAAAGGCAGGGAGCUGAAAAAAGUAAUUCCUCUUGAUUGAUUCCAUGCAUAAAAUCAUUAUAUGCAUAACUUGAAGUAGGAGGAGCUCAGCAAACUGGCCCUUGACCCUUUUGCUGAUUCAACGUGCCGUGAAAAAACAAGAAACCUUUUCUGCUUAGAAAUGUUUCUAGUGUCUAACGAUUCACUAGUUUCGGAGAACCGCAACUGAAACGACCUAGAUUUUUCCACAAAGGGGAAAAAUCCUCAGAUUCGAAUUAUAAUGUGAUAAUUCAGAAAUUGAGCCAUCACAUUAUCAUAUAUCAGCUGUUAUCACAGUCAUACAUCGUGAAAAAGGAGAUUACAACACAUUUACUUUACAACUCUUAGUUAACAAGCCUAUUACAUCGUUUUACUAGCGGAAACAUACACGAAUCUUUAUCAGAGUUGAUGUAGCGCGUCAACGGUGAAGGCUCCUCCUUCACAGGCAAUCAUCAGAGUCGGCGUAGUUUAUCAGCGGGCGUAGCCUUCAUCUCCGAACCAAACUUGAGCGCAUGAACGAGACCACCUAAUCCUUCUAUUCUCCGUGGUUAUCGUCUUAGACCACGUUCAACACCUGCUAAACAAUUUUCAGUACGAUUUGUACUGGCCACUGGCUCCCACCCUAUGCUUUUGCGUAAGCUUUGUGGUAAGUGGAAUGCAAAGGGGUAGAUCAAGAGGCCUAUAAAUAUGGUUGUAGUCUUUCCUAUGCAAGUUCAUCAAUAUUUAAUAAUAAUAUUCAUCAGGUUUUAAUCCAUCUCAACCACACAUCCAUCCAUCCAUCCAUCCAUCCAUCACACACAUCUCACCACACUCUCACUCUCUAGGCGGCAAGUACGACUCCCGCUCGUGCCUUGCCUCAACGUCCAACGCCGGAUCCAACACAAACCCAGGGGAAGGUAGAAGGGACUCCUCUCUCUAGUCAAGUGAAGCGGAAACAUAGGAAAGGUCCAUAGCCGAAAACGGCAUAUGUAUCGAUCGAUCAACCAGAAACUCUGCAGAGGUUUGCACUAACCACAAGAUCACCAUCAUCGGUGGUGCGCCCCACCUAGGCUGAUGCCGGGCUGCCUUCCAACUAAGUACGAUGCCACCCUACCACUCAGAACUGGGACCAUACCGGAGUACCUCCGGUACGCUGAGACUGUGAGGCGUAGUACCGGGCCCCCAAAGGUCACUACGCUGUCUUAGGAGGGUGUGGGUCCUCAUGCCCGUACCUCCCUACACUGUCAACCAACAACCUAGUAGUAGUGGCACCGCCCUAACUGGUCGUACAUCCGUCUCCUCCCCAUAAGAGCGAGUGGGGUGCAAGGCUUCCUACGAACCGGUUCUCAGAACAUCUCAGUCCUUAGGGUGACCGAACAGGACAUCUUCACGAGGGGCCAACCGAUGCCCGGCUCGACGGGACAUCCGAUUACCCCGUGUUAAACAGCACCUCCCAUCCCGGUGCUUCGUCCCACGAAGACACUCCACUCCGGGACCUCUCCCUGUCACAUGUACCCGCCACAGGUAAGAGACGGGGAAUCAGAAAGAGUGACACACAAGAACACGAGUGCUUAAACACUUGUAGGGUACCACGACCUAGGUGCACUAAAUGCACUAAGACAUCCCUAGGGUUCAUAGCAGUGCGGUUGUCACCGCGAGAACCAAAGAAACGCUACGGUCAAGUAGGUACAAGCAUACAAGAGUUUAAGUACGAAGAACCAAAAGGCGGUAAAAGACACGGGUUUCACUUUCCAUUGAUCCGCUCGCCAUAUCAACAACGGGAAUCGCGGGAUUGGAAACAAAACAUCAAACAAGCAAAAAGGAGCUCAAUCCACAUCUUACUGGAUCGACGGGGAUUGAGAACAAGAGAGAAGAAGAAGAAUGGGGUCCACGUUCUUUCAACCCAACUCAUCAUGGAACGAACGACGGUUGGAUAAAAAGUGAUGCGACCCCACGAUCUACUCCAACUCAAAACGCUUCACGACCUAGGUGCUUCUGACUCGGCACAAGGUCAUUCCUAUAGUUCUAGGCGAUGCGGUUGUCAUCGCGGGAACUAGGGGAAAUGCCCGGGUCUAGGUGGCAUAAGCAUACGAGACAGAAUAAAUAAACACGCGAGAAAAAUGGGAUAGGCUCAAUGGCCAUGGCGAGGCGUCUCGCGACCAUGAGCUUCACCUAACGAGUUGGCUUCCGACUGUUCCACGAAGGUUGUCCCCUAAUUCGUAUCCCACUCGACUAGGUCAUUUAGGUCUCGGGUGUGCGGGUAAGAACCGCGUCGUUAACGACAUCGAGUCCACGAUGACCACGUCCGAGGGACGGGAAUAGGAGCUAACGACCGUAGCGCAACGAAGUCAACUAAACACAAGGAAUGAGUUACGCUCGGCAUCGCGAUCACGGCGGGACGAACCCACGAUCGAAAUGAUCGAACGCACUACCAUUUCCCUAACCGGCUCGAAGGCUCGGUCCUCAGGCAACGACAAACACAUAAAGAAUCACGACUCGACCAAAGACAACACAAGGGACACGAUGACAACUCAGAGUAGCACAUUUCCAUAGCACGAGAGAUAGAUAGAGAUAGAUAAAUAAACCAGCACGAAGGCACGACACAGGCAUGGAUAUAGAUAAAUCAUAUAACAAGUGCACGACAUGGAUGGAUCAUAUAUCGACAAGGUAGGAGAUGUAUGAUCAUGUACAGAUGAUAGAUAACGAAAUGAUAUAUGAACAAAUAUGAUUUAAUAUGGAGUUCCAACGUCGACUAGGGUUUAGGGGGGGUUUCGACCUUGCCGAACACGAAGAAGGGCGUAGGUCAGCUGCAAGUCUUCUGCUUGGCUGGCUGUGGCUCGCUGCGGCUCGGCUGGAGGCAGCAGGCAGCAGGCAGCGAGAAGGCAUCACUUCUUCGGCCAAAACACAACGGGACCAAAACUUCCCUGCAACAGUGGAAGAACACGACACGAAGGCCGGUCUCAGCGAGGCGAAAUAGGAAGGGGAAAACCUUGGUCUGGGCGAGGCUCACCGGGGGUUUGGCUUGGCGAGGUCGUGCACAGGAGUUCGACGCGGUGACCGUGGCGAGGACGGGGACGCCGCGGGCUCCUGGGCGAGGUCACGGCGUCGUCGUGGUGGCGCAGAUCGAUAUCGGGGUCACGGUCGCGGUCUCCAUGGCUGGCGUGGACGUGGUCGUGGACACCGGACGAGGUCGCGGUGCUUGGCGUGGGCGCGGCCACGGCGGUGAGGUGCUCGGCGAAGAGGGGGUCCGCGGCUCCUGGCGAGGUCCGGGACACGGGCGAUGCAGAGCUUGACGGAGUAGGACUCGCCGAAGUCGGCGUCGCGGCUCCGGCGUCGCCGCGUCGGGGCUUCGAGGUGCUCGGCGUCGACGAUCCAAGGGCGAGGUCGUCGCGAAGGUCGCGGCCGGGGCGAGGUUGGUGCUCGGCUGCUGGGAAUGGAGCAGACAGCGACGGCGGCCAUGGCUUUUAUACGCGUCGGGCUAGGGUUCCAGGGGGAGCCACGUUCAUCCUCGGCGUCCGUGUCAGCUGCGAGACACGCGGCAGGCAUCAGGAUCGAGGGGGAUGGGGUGCGGGCAGGGACAUGGGUGCAGGGGGCGGUUCUUCCCACUCUGGGCGGUGGCGGCGGCGGCUCUGGGGCUCAGGGGCGCGCUAGGGUUAGGUGCUGGGGCGGCUUGGGCCGAGAGGGGUCACGCGCGCAAGUUGGGCCGGGCAGGUAGCUGGGCCGCAACAGGGGCAGAGGGGAAAGGCGGGCCAGGCGGUGCCGAGGCCAACUGGGCCGCAGAGGGGGAAGGGUGGCUGGUUGGGCCAGAGCAUGAGCUGGGCUGGCGAGCUGGAGGGGGAGGAGGGGGAAAGGAAUCCUGGCCCAAGAGAAGAAGGAAGGCUUUUCCAUUUCUGGAUUAAACACAAAAGAAUGAAAACAAAAGGAGAUCGGAUAAAAUCCGAUGGAGUUUGAGACGUACUCCAACAAAAAGUUGAGAAGGGAUUCACUUCGCCUUUGAGAUAGGCUCCACGAAGAUUCGGGAAGACUUUGCUACGGAUUUGUGCACUCCAAAAGAAACUCAAAACCCUAAACAAGACUAAACUCCAAACCGACUCACGAACAAAAGCACUCACCUAGAAACAAAUCUAUAUGUAUGCCACGAUUUGUUUGCGGGUUAGGAUCGAUUUAGAUCUAAAAACUAUAUGCUUCACAAGAUUACAAGAAAAUUUUAAAAAGCUCGUAUUUUUGGUUUUCGUAAAAAUCUAAGAUGUUACAGCAACCGUUUCGGCUCCAAACGGGCCCGGAAAAUGUCUUUUUUUUUUGCAACAGUCCCCGAAAAUGUUUGUACUCGUCUUCCAUGGAAGUAUCGCAUAUGCCUGCCAACGCAUUUAAAUAAGAAGAAUAAGAAAAAUAUCUGCUAGUGUGUUCGCAAAAUGAAAAUAAAAUAUCUGGUAGCUUCUCCCGUUCUCCAUGUCAACUAGGAGCAGUGUGCUUCAUCAAAAAAAAAAAAACUAGGAGCAGUGUGCCGAGCUAGUACCACUGCAGUUCAGUUUUGCCGUUAGCUAACGGUUUCGCUCGACAGACGAUACAGCUCAAUCAAGAUUCAUGCUGUGUGUAGAGAGAGAGAGGGAAAAGGAAAUCAUUGGCUGAGCCGCUGGGAUAGCCCGUGCGGCACGUGGGCUUGCGGGCCUGCCUUCCCCGGGCCAGCCGAUGGCGAUCUGAAACAGAAGACGCCCAGCGCCAUUGAUUCGGUCCCCCCCUUGCCCUGAGGCUCAAGCUGCAAGAAACCUCACGUCAUCACCUCACGACGAUGCCCCCACCACCAACCUUGGCACGUCCGCGCGCAGCACCGUCGUCAUGAAUUCCAGUGAUCCCGUAUUCUCGUAGCGGCGGACUAGCAGCCACCCCAGCCGCAUUCCCGGGCCGGGACCCCGGCCGCGCGUCGGCGUCGCCGUACGUCUCGCGAUCGAUCGCUUGACGGCCAGACGCCACGCAAAUUCCCCGCCAGCAGCUCAGGUUGGCUCGAUCAGCGGUUCGUACGUGCAUGCUGCGGCCUCGAUCGAUCGGCGAAUCAAAGGCGAGCAGCCGAGCACCCUCCACCUCUAUGCCAUCCCACAGAAAAGGGCUGGAGAGGCCAGCCGCCGGCGGCGUCGCCUACUACGUAUCCUGGCAAUCCUGGCCAGAGACGACGUGCCGGUUGAGCCAGCCAUACGUACAGGCCGCGCCCUCAUCGUCCUGCUGCUGAGUGCUGACUGCCCCUAUAAAACUCGACGCUGGCCGGUUCUACACACCACUUGAGAGUCAGAGAGCCGGAGGCAGCAGUAAGAAAACACGUAGAAACCGUACGCGCGGCGCCAUGGCACGCAGCAGGGCCUUGCUGUUGUUUCUUCUCGCGCUCUCGUGCUGCUGGUCGUGGUGGUGCGGCGCCGUCGUCGUCACGGCGCGGCCGACCCCGAGCACCACCACCACAGCCGGCGGCGGCGGCGGCGGCGGCUUCAUCGCGUCGUGGUGCGCGGGGACGGACUACCCGGCCCUGUGCAACGCGACGCUGGCCCCGUACGCGGCGGAGGUCGGGGCCAGCCCGGCGCGCCUGUCGCUGGCCGCGCUGACGGUCACGCUGGGCGGCGCGCGGAAGGCGACGGCCGCGAUGAAGGCGAUGGCGGCGGGCGCGAGCAGGAGCAGCCCCGUGGCGGCCGAGGCGGCGGAGGACUGCGUGGGCAUGCUCGAGGACGCCGUGGGCCUGCUGCGGCAGUCGGUGGAGGCCAUGGAGCGCAUCGGGAAGGAGGAGGAGGAGCCGAGCGGCAGCAGCGGGCAGCAGGGCGGGAGCGGCAGCAGCAGGAGCGUCAGGUUCCAGGUGAACAGCGUGCAGACGUGGGCGAGCGCCGCGAUGACGAACGACGACAUGUGCGUGGAGGGUGGCCAGGCCGCCGUCGUCAGGGAGGCCGUGCGGGGGAACGUCGCCGGCGCCAUGCACCUCACGGCCAACGCGCUCGCCAUCGUCAACGCCAUGGCCAAGCAAAUAUCGUAGGGUACGGUGUUAUAUGCACGUGUAUAGCAUGCAUGCAUGUGGAUGCCUUGUGUAUAUAACUAUAUAUAUAUGUACGUAUACGCCUCUGUGUGUGUGUUGUUGCUGUCGUCGUCGUCUGAGAUUAGAGCGGUAGUCGAAAUGAUCACAUCUGAUCCUAAUUUGUUUAGAGCCGCAAAUGGAAGAAUCACGGAUUGAUUGUCGUGUGCUGCACCCGUGUCCGGACAGUGCAAUGGAAGAAUCAUGAUUUUAAUUUGUUGUUAUGCGUUGUUCUUCACUUUUCUAAGGCCUUGUUUAGUUCGCAAAAAAAUUUGGAUUUUUGCUACUGUAGCAUUUUUAUUUUUAUUUGACAAAUAUUGUCUAAUUAUAGACUAACUAGCCUCAAAAGAUUUGUCUCGUAAAUUAUAGGUAAACUGUGCAAUUAGUUUUUUUAUCUAUAUUUAAUGCUAUAUGCAUGUGCCGCAAAGUUUGAUGUGACGGGGAAAGAUUUGUCUCGUAAAUUACAGAUAAACUGUGCAAUUAGUUAUCUUUUUUAUCUAUAUUUAAUGCUCUAUACAUGUACCGCAAAAUUUGAUGUGAUGAAGAAUCUUAAAUUUUUUGGGAACAAGGCCUAAGUACUGGUGCGACGAGCAGAAGACCGUGCCGAAUCAGAUUGGAUACUAAAGUUGAGUCUGGAGUCCUUUUGAUAUUCGCAACUGGUACUCAAUCAGGAAAUGUGUUUGUACCAUUCAAAUUAACAGGAACACACUCUGCUGUCAGUAGAUUGAUGAUGAAAGACAAGUAGUGGCGCUUGAGCUUAUCAGCCGAAUCUACCAGCUAUUCAGCAGUGUUUUUCUCUCACAACAAAUCAGCCAACAACAAAUCAGCCAACAAUUUCCUGCCAUGGCUUAUCAGCCAAACGAAUAAAACGGAUCUAUUUUACUGGUUCGGGUACUAUAACUACUGUGCAAUGACUGCUCCCUCCGUUUACAACAAAAUGCAAUUUUUGCCUUUUGAUCAUAGUUUUUAGGACCGGAUCGGAAAUCAAACCGGCGAGACCGUCGGUUCAAUGGUUCAAUGGUCCAAUCGUUAGGAACCGGUUGAACCGCCGGUUCGAUUGUUUUGAACCGGACAAAUCGAACCGGCCACAAAAUAAUUAAACCGGUAUAUAUAUAUACAAGUGCUAUUCUACAUCCUAGGUGUAGAAUAUUAUUCUACACCAAACUGUUAUACUGAGCAGAAUUCAGUAUCAUUGAGUAUUUGUGUUUCAGUAUUGUUCAGUAUUUCAUGGUCCUAGGUGUAGUGUUGGAUGAUACUGAACGAUGUUCAGUACUGCUUAGUAUUAUUUUCAGGUUAGUUUUGACUUGCGGUGUAGAAUAAUAUUCUACACCUAGGAUGUAGAAUAGCGCUACCAUAUAUAUAUAUAUAUGCAAAUGCAACGACAUGUUCUUAAUAUAUUAUAAACACAAAGUGAAGCAGUGAAGAAUAUCGAUAUUGAUAACAUAGCUUUCAGCUUAACACAUAGUUCAUAAUUUCAUAUUCAUAGUUCAUAAAAACAGUCACGGGCUCAUGGCUAGCAAGGCAGCAACACAACCUCACAGGUUCUUUAAUACAAAAAAUAACAACAUGCAUGAUGCCGUGAUAAACUGGUAACAAAGUUCCAAACAAGUUCAUGCUAAAAAGACAAUCAUGAACACAAACAACAGACAUUUCCCUCCCCAAGCCGCCCAGCGCCAAAAGAAGCCCUAAAGAUGCAAUUUCCAUGAAUACCCCUGAGUAGACCAUGUCGUUCUGAACAUCCAGAGAGGUAACUUUGAAAAAACUCAAAACAUCACCGGUUCGCAUAAAACCGCCCGGUUCAAUGGUUUGACCAGAAAACCGGCCGGUUCAACCGGUUUUCACCGGUUCGAUUGCAUUCCGAUCCUCUAAGGUGAACCGGACCGGUGAAGGCUCCGGUUCGGUAUUUUACCGGUCGAACCGCCGGUCCAGUCCGGUUCGAAUAACUAGGCUUUUGAUAAAUUAAACAAUUUGAACUUUAACUAGAUCCAUAUAUAAAAAAUAUUAACAUUUAUGAUAAAAAAAUUACUAUUAAAUUAGUUAUAGAUUUAUUUGGAGACAUAAAUACUACUACUAUUUACUAGUAUAAACUUGUUCAAACUUGAACUUAUUCGACGGACACGUUCAUAAUUACAUUAUUUUGUGGAGAGGGAGUACACUUUACACACACCGAAGCCUAUCCAAACUUCCAAAAGGCCAAGCGCUCGUCGGUACCAGCAGAAUGUCAGGAGAUCCAGAUUUCCAUGGGCGACAUUCCAUUCGACCGCAGAUUCACUGUAGCCUGUAGGCAUGAACACAGGAAAUGGAGAGUAGUUACAGGUUAUAUCGAUUCAUAUUUGCACAACAGACACGACAACCAAAGAUAUCGACAGAAUUAUUGGCAUUCUCAUCGACAGUUUGCACUCUGCAGGUGACACUUGGAUGGUUAUCUUGGGCUUUCAGCAAGAUACAGUUGGUGGGUUCUGGUUCCCCGUCAGCGCUAAUUUUAGCUACAGUUGUCGCAGCCUUUUUCUCCGCCACACUUCUGUGACGGCACCACAACUUGCAUGGCUGCUAGUGGCCAGGAACCAAACAACCCCACAAUCGAAACAUGGAAAAAAAAAAUCAAUAGGACGGUUCCAUGGCACUCAUGAGCACACACCAUGUCCAUACACAUGCAUCCAAGUAUCCAACGCAUGUGACUAUCGCUUAAAUUUAAGAGAAACAAUUGAACAAAAACUCCAAUUCUCUUAUUCGUUAAAUGCAUGUAAACGUCUAUGUAUGAAAAAUCCAUAAGGCCUUGUUUGGAUGUAGUCGGAUUCACAUCAAUCCACAUGUGUUGGGGUGGAUUGGAGUGGAACUUGAACUAAAUUACACCCUAAUCCACUCCAACACAUGUGGAUUGAGGUGAAUCCGAUAACAUCCAAACAAGGCCUAAAGGGUGCACGUAAGUGUGGCAUGGAAAUAGUCCAGACUGAUCCCCCCCCCCUACCCCACCGAACAGGUACCAGUUGCCGAGAGUUGAAUUCAGCACAUGAAAGAACUUGGUGAGUAGCAACUUCCAGCGCAACAGAAACAUGGACACAAACAUGAAAAAUGAGAUUACCAACACAUGCUCCAUUAGCCUUUAGCUCGCAAAGCACGUCAACCACUACAAAUUUUUCAUACCCAGCAAAAGGGAAGAAGUAAAAAAAAAGGAAAAAGGAAAGAGGAAACAAAUAACCCAUGAUUGCUGACAAAGUUGUACACCAGUUGCCAGCUUCAUUACGAGACUAUUGCACUUGGCCGGUAUUUAACUCGAAGUUUGUACCCUUUCUAAUGGAAACAAAACUAAAAUGUCACAGCAUUCAUGAAGCUCUCUUGGGAGGAGACAUAUUCUGCAGGAGUCUGGUAGUUGUAGCUAUAACCACCAUUUGCAGCAGGAUACCUAGCACGGUGAAGGAACGCAGACCACAAAAGUUAGCAACAAAUACUUUGACUAUAACUUAAGAGAUUUAGCUAUAACUUACCAAGAGCAACACGAACAGCAUCAAGCAUUUCAUAGCUUGUGAUGGCCUCUGUGUUUUGCUUCAUAACCUAGGCAACAACCAAAUGCAAAUAGCUGAUGUCAUCUCCCACAAUGCUUGUUAUAAUUAUCACUUCAUAGAGCAAAAGACUAAUUCAUACAACCCAGGAGGAACGAAAGCAAAAGAAAACAAAAUGCCUCAAAUUGACUAAGACCUAAGAUUAAUUCAAGUUUAUCUAACACUGGAAUAAUGGCACAAACAUGACAGGUACUUUCAGGAUGAAAUCUGCCUGAGUUAUUGCUGGUGGAAUUAUUAAGAUUAAGAUAUGGGUAUCAUGUUAUACCAGUAAACUACUUCAGCCAUGUGGGCAUGACAAUGAAAACUCGACCUGCGGGGGUAUGGGCAUGACAAUGAAAGGGAAUGAUCUUUCGCACUGAUCGAGAUAAUAUCAUCCAUCCUUUUUCCUUGAUCUAUCUACAGAUAUUUUUCUUCUGCCGAACUUGUCAAAUCUAAUGUGAUGCUGAUGCUCUGUCCUUACUCAAUGUGGAGAAUCCAGCUUCCUCAUAGCUGGAUUAUCCCAAAGAUGAAGUUGGCCUCAAUUUGUCGGCCUUAUAUCUGGUGACAUAGUUUUGGGAACAUGGAUUCACUACCAACACAUUCAGUACUAGAGGUAAUUUUGCCUUCUCUUUUGUGCUGAUUUGACACCCGAAUCAAUUUUUUUGUUGGUGAGUGUUACACCAACAAAAUGGAGCCACCACUUAAUGCUCGAUUAGUUUAUUCAGCAGUAUCAUAAAGCCAGAUCCAAAAUUGAAUGAAAUCAUGGACAAUUCUUACAUUUACAUCUAACUUAAAAACAAACAUUCUAGAUAGUCCUGGACACCCCUCGUUUAAGAAGAUUCACAUCAAGCCAAGCCCAUGUUGCAUUGAACUUGGUAUCAAACACUACCCAUGCAGGCUGAAGGUCAUUACUUUAUUUCGAUACUUUUGUGUCUCAUUCUUGCAAACGUACUCCUCAGGUGGGACUUCAACUUGGGGUUACCUACCUCUAAAGGUUCUACAAAAGGGUACCAUUUGCAAAAUUUGUACUGCACGUUUUGUUAAUUCACAGUUGCACUAUGCAAUGCCCAUCUUGACUCUUGAGAAUGAGCACAAUUCUGUUAAGUCAUUAAUUAACCCCAUUGGCAGGACUAAAGUGAGAACAAUAAGACUAUAAUUGCUGCUUAAGCUGCAAUCUAAAUGAAGUAACGAUCUUAAUGAGACAACCUGUUUCAUUUCAAAAAUGAAGGCCGAGCUCAUGUUUUUAAUUGGAUGGCAUCAAGAGGCAGAAAAAUAAUAAACUUGCAAGAUAUACAUCUCCACUCUCAUGACUUGCAAAACAGCGAGAUUCUGAAUUUCAUAACCCAAACCUUCAAGAACAACUCUGACCGGAUAAUGCACGUCACAGAGAAUGCAACCGCAAUUGAUGACAAGCUUGUGUAAAGCCGAAGCAGCACUGCCAUAGUCCGCCUUCGCCCUGUGAUGAAUAACCAAAUAACAACAUCAGCUAGAAUGAAUCAAUAAUCCGACAAAGUAUGAUUGAUAUGGCAUUGGAAAAAGGAUAUCCUUUGAGGAAAACAUGAAUGGGGGUGUUAUUUCUUUAAAAGCCCAUAUGCCAAAGGCAUCUAGAGAAAGUUUGAAGCUUAUAUGUGGAGAUUUAUAUAAUAUAAUGGUUGGUUUGGAAGGUCCAUAAUGAGGUAAGCUUUAAAGACUACCAGCUGAUCCUAAUAGAAUGGUGUCCACUUUUACAGAAAAAAAAAGAAUGGUGUCGACAAAGAGAGCAAGAUGAUAGUAUACCAGCUUGCUUAUUCUGGCAAACUACAGCAGAAUGCUUAAUCCAUGGCAAGAGUAUUGAAAAAAUCCCUCUCCUAUCUUACUAAUCAGAAACCGAGAAGCCCGUCAAUGAAAAAUUGACAACUGACGUAGAAUUUCAUAUUUCACUGCCCAUGACAUUCUAGUUGACACCUCUUCUUUUUAUCAGUGCCAAGUAUCCUUUUAUAUUGAACUUAAGACUUGAAAAGUUGUAAUCUCCUAUUGUGGUUUUCUUCACUCGAGGCUCAAGAUCUAGGUCGACCUAGUUCUUUUUUGUUGGUGGAAGAAAUAAGGAAGUAUGGAACUAGCAGAAUUGAGGUUAACACAGCAAUAUCACCUAAUUCCCCAACCACUAUAGCCACGAAUCCCGCGGCCACGGACAGCACGGCGAACUUGUUCACCGCCGCCCCCUUGGACAACGACAGCAACAGAAGCGCGCCUCCGACCACUAGGUGCAGCGCCUGUAGGAGCAAACCACCAUAGACACUCAUCAGAUCAACAACCGCCAACAACGGCAAGAGAUGGAGGAGCCAGUCCAGGAGCCAAGCUUGCCGUCACCUGCACGAGGAUGAGGCGCGCGAGGCGGGAUCUGCCAUCGGCGACCCUCUGGUACCCUGCAAAAUUGCGAGGUUAUAAGAGAGGCGUUGGAAGCGAGGCUUUGGGGGGUCUGGGCGGUGGAUGCUUACGGGAUUCGACGACCAUGCGGUAGGAAAAGUCUGAGCCAUCCGUGCCCGACGGCCGGCCGGAGGCGCCGCGCCGCAUCGCUCCGACGGUGAGGAGGCUGCUUCGUCCAAGGGACUAUGGGAGACAGUUCGCAGAAGGGCGGCUAGUCUUCGACUCUUCGUGUCAAGGUGAAUACCGAAAGACGCCUUCCGACUGCAAACACGGAAACUGCCACCAGUCGAACAGCCACCCCGAGCUCCGGCUAUGGAGGAAACCGCCGCCGCAGCCGCUGCUUGGGCAUCUAAUGCCGCCACGCCCGCCCCGUCCGAGCCCACGGGAUCCCCUGCUGAUGCCGGAGCCUCCGCUGAUCGUACCGCCGUCGGUGACGAUGAGCACGACUCCAAGGAGGUCGUCCUGCGCAGGUACUUCCUCCAGGAGUGGGAGUUGGUCUCCGCGAUCCUCCGCAGCAUCGUCGCCGGCGGCGGCGUUGCCGAAUCCGCCGAUGUCCACAGGAUCCGCUCUAUCGUAAGCAAACUUCUCUUCUCCCUAUAUCCAAAUGCCCCCUGCCGGUGAACCUUAGAUCUCUGAGAGAAGAGUGUGUAGCUCUGAGAGCAACAUUGACUUCUGUUUGGUUAUUUUGAAUGAUAUAAUCUGCUUUAGCGUCUGCUUUUAAAUGCACAACAGCCAAAUUCGAAGAUAUGAUGUACAAUAUCUUGCAACCUUUUAGUCGUCUAGGAGGAAGUUUAAACUGUUUGGUUGAGGUUAAUCUGUGAAUGCACAUUUUAUUGCUAAUAUAGGAUAGCAAAAGCUGAGCUGAGGUACAAAUGACUUACAUGAAUCAAUCCUAUGUCCUAGAAUGAUAUGUUGUUUAGGAAUUACAUUCUGCUUUCCCUGGUAAAAAAAAGGUUCUGUGAGAGAGUUAUGACUGAUCUAUUACCACCUCUAUAGAAAAAGGUAAGAGGCAAAGUUCCACAUGAUGUGGAAACUAUUAGCAUUAGGAAAAUAACUGAUAUAUUUAGAUAAUACCCAGCCAUCCUAUUUCUGACUUUAAGUGUAAAGAGUUAUACUCCUUCUGUUCCAAAUGUAAGGUGUUUUAUCAAGUUUUUCUAAGUCAAACAUCUUCAAGUUUGACCAAAUUUAUAGAAAAACAUAGGAACUGUCCAGCACCAAGCAAAUA